This 560-nucleotide unclassified non-coding RNA is filed under the name Hevea brasiliensis (rubber tree). The record is from RNAcentral. Lineage: Eukaryota; Viridiplantae; Streptophyta; Magnoliopsida; Malpighiales; Euphorbiaceae.
AACAAAUAAACAAUAACUCAGAAAUAAGAACACCAACACAUAAAUAACACACAAACAAGAACCAGAAACAACAAGAACAAUCCAGAAAUAUUUCGAUCCAUACACAAACAAUACAUCAAACCUAAAAUCUUCAAAUUUAACCUAGCCUAUUAUCUUCAAAUUUAACCUAGAAUGGAAAACCAAAUAGAUUAGAUCAAGGUAAACCAAAAUGCAAAAUGUGAGAGAGAACCCAGAUUAUGUGGGUACAACUCUGAUUCUCCGUGGCAAAUCCUGGUUGUAAGAAGAUGGGUUUCUUGAGAGUGGGUUUAAUUUCUGGUUGCACUGUCAAGUAGGUUCUCUUUCUUCAGCAACGGCUUUGAUGACUUUGACAAUGCAGAUCUAGAGAGGAAAUCAAGCUUCCUUGUGGGCUCAUUUCUUCACCUUUCCAAGCUCUAAAUCAUGCUUAACUAGCAUCUCCUCCAUGGAAGUGUGACGCAAAAAUGGGUUCACUGGGUUGUGAGGCAAAAAUGGCGGAGGAGGAAUGGAGCCAUGGCGUCGACGGGGAAAAGAAUGUGGCAAUG